AUGUAAGUCUAUCAAAAUAUACAUUUAUGAAAUUUUUCAAAAUUUACAGAGAAAUACAUCACAUACAACAUAUGCUUUGUAGUUGAAAGAUGCAUUUACAUAAAUAUGUGACAUGUAAUAAAACCUGUGUAAAGUUAACUGUGGUGUGCACCUUUGAGUCUUAGAUGUCCUUUGUUGCUACUAUUGUGAUUUUAAGCCCUGUAGCUUUCUCCUUUUAAGUGCCCUGUACCAGGUAAGCACUUUGUCUCUAGUUAAUACAUGUGUCAUUAUAAACUAUGAGUUACUGGGUCUCUCCUUAAACACUGCACAUGCCAUGAAGAUGUUUUUAUGGAAUUAUGUGUUAAUGAAAUGGUCAAGACUUCUAGUCAAUGAGGCUGUCCAUAAUGAUUUUGGAGACUCAAAUGUGUUAUGGCUUGGAUUUGGGUAAUAUAGGAUAGUAAAUCUUUUUCUUUCCUUUUCUAUUCUCCUCAUAUUGAAAAAGAAAAAAGUUUGUUUCUUUGUUUAUUUCUCUCUUUGUUUUUGAGAUAAGGUCAUCCUCUCUCCCAGGUUUCUCUGAAGCUCACUCUAUAGCCUUGUUUGGUCUUGGACAUUUGAGUAUUCAAAUACUUUAUGAACAGCCCAAUUGUAAUGGGCAUAAAUUCUUAAUCACAACAUGAACAUACGUUUCAACUAAAACAAUUGUGUCCUACAAAGUCUGUAAGGAGAAUAGCUUACAUUUUAAUGUAGCACAUGAAUUUGUAGGCUUCUCAGUGUGCGCUUAACAAAUGUGUUCCAUCAUAUCUAGUUUAGUGAAGAAAUUUUAAGAGGUUAAGUCCUGUUGGGAGCAGGUCUCAGACAGAUGUUGGAGCUAUAGCUCUUCGUAUCCAUCUUUAACCUUGGCCAUAGUGAAAGGGCAUCUUCUGCCACAUCUUCUUACCAUAAUGUACUGCCCUGUAAAUACCUAAUUUUGGGGUGGUGAACUGGCCGUUGAGUAAUUGGCUCACUAACAGACUAUGAGCCCAAAUAAACCUUCCACCAGUUUUCCCUUUUAAAUGGAUAUUUUAGGCUGUUUAUUAUUAUUAUUAUUAUUAUUAUUAUUAUUAUUAUUAUUAUUAUUAUUAUUACAGUCCAGUCAUUACCCUCCUCCUGGCCUGCCCUCUGGCUGUUCCUCAUCACAUUCCUCGUCCCCUUUAUCCAAGAGAAUGUUCUUAACUCCCGACCCCCACCCCACCAGAUCUCCCCACUCCCUGGGGCCACAAAUCUCUCAGAGGUUAGGUGCUUCUUCUCUCACAGAGGCCAGGCGAGGCAAUCCUCUGCUGUAUAUGUGUUGGGGGCUUCAUAUCAGCUUGUGUACGCUGCUGGUUGGUGGCUCAGUGUCUGAGAGAUCUCAGGGGUCCAUGUUAGUUGAAGCUGCUGAUCUUCUUAUGGGGUCAUAUUUAUCACUUUUGAGACUAUAAUAUAUUUUGGAUUGCUUUCCCUUUUCUAUCUCCUCCUCCCUUUCCCCACACUCCAAAAAUAUCCAUUCUGUACUCUCUAUCAAAGUUUGGUCCAUUUAUCUUUUUAAUAUUAACCACAUCUUCACUUCUAAAUGCAUAAAUGCAUUUUAAGUUGAUUAUCUCACUUAUUUUGCCACAAUAAUAGAAAUCUCUAUGUGUAGGCAAAUAAGUAACUUCUUAUAUUUUUCUAAUUUUUGUUUAAAGAAAAUAUUAUAAUUUUAAAUAUUUCUAUUGAUAAGCUUUAUUUUUCUCUCUACAUAGUUUUCACUUUAAAAGUGAUUUUAAAUAAGAUAAACUGCAACAUACAGAGAAAAACUCUCCAGAAAAAAUCAAAAUUUGGGGGUAUGUUUGUUUGUUUGUUUGUGUUAAGUUUUCUAGAUAGUACAAAAGAGUUUUCUAUUUUACUUUAUUCACAGACAAUUUUGUCCCUUAAUAUUUAGGUCUGCCACUGAUAGUAAAAACAAAAAUAAAAACAAAAACACUUUUGUUGAGUUGUCUAAAUUCCUUUGGGUUGUUAUGCAUGCCUUUUUAUUCGGCAUUAUAGAGUCCACCUCAACAUGAACUUUUGGUUAGUGAAGAUUCAAUAAAGAAGGAAAUUGUAAGCAUUUUCAGGUUGCAUUGCCUCAGCUCAAAGUCCUGAACACGAUUUGAAUUCCAUAGAGUGAUAUACUGUAUCUCUCCUGGACUGUCAGGGUGGAGGAAAGGAAUGUAGCAGCAGUUAUAAACAUAUCACACACAGACAUUUAUUCAGACAAAUAGAGAUGUACUUGUGUGUCACUUUAAAGCUCAGCUGCUUAUGGUCUUGGAAUAUAGCUGACAACAGAAUGCAUUUUUUAACAUGGGGUUUGGAAAACAUAUAACCAAUCCAAACAGAAUAUGGCAUCAAGGAUAAGAGUUCCUGUUGUUAGUAUCGGUAUUUCAAUGAAUUGACUUAGCCGUAUUAAAAAGAGCAUAAUAGUUU
RNAcentral lists this long non-coding RNA (2436 nucleotides) under Mus musculus (house mouse). Its description in RNAcentral is "long non-coding RNA chr10:102131992-102134428". The record is from RNAcentral. Lineage: Eukaryota; Metazoa; Chordata; Mammalia; Rodentia; Muridae.